RNAcentral lists this ribosomal RNA (255 nucleotides) under uncultured bacterium. RNAcentral describes it as "partial 16S ribosomal RNA". It matches the Rfam family "Bacterial small subunit ribosomal RNA", at positions 524 to 776 of the family's 1533-position model. The record is from RNAcentral.
UACAGAGGGUGCGAGCGUUGUCCGGAAUCACUGGGCGUAAAGGGCGCGUAGGUGGUGGCUUAAGCGUGCGGUGAAAGCUCGGGGCUCAACUCCGAGUCGGCCGUGCGAACUGGGCUCACUGGAGCAUAGUAGAGGCAGGUGGAAUUCCGGGGUGUAGCGGUGGAAUGCGUAGAGAUCCGGAAGAACACCGGUGGCGAAGGCGGCCUGCUGGGCUAUGGCUGACACUGAGGCGCGACAGCGUGGGGAGCAAACAGG